Molecule: long non-coding RNA, 412 nt
Organism: Oncorhynchus mykiss (rainbow trout)
Lineage: Eukaryota; Metazoa; Chordata; Actinopteri; Salmoniformes; Salmonidae
Source: RefSeq, a predicted model, not a curated record
UGUGUGUGUGUGUGUGUGUGUGUGUGUGUGUGUGCGUGCGUGCGUGCGUGCGUGCGUGCGUGCGUGCGUGUGUGUGUGAGGGCGGGCGAUGUGGAGAAGGUUGAGGGGGUGAGUAUGAUGUCAUUCAGAGUGUGUAAGACUGUUUGUGUCUUAAAAUGGCACCCUUUUCCUCUAAAAUAGUGCACAGGCUGCCAUUUGAGACACGGGCUAACUGUAGGAACAAAGCAGAUAGAAAUUCACUGUCCAGAACGGGCAGAACUCUCCAUUGUUUCUGAUCUGCUCAUUGUAUUUGUAUCUGCUGUCAGUGAACUCCCCCAGGUCAUCCAAGCAAUAUUGCCAGCCAAUCACAUGGUUGCAUGGGAAUCAGACUGUGAGCGGGACAUAAAUCAUUAAAGAAAAAGUAGUAAAUAAA